Molecule: transfer RNA, 68 nt
Filed under: Tetrastes sewerzowi (Chinese grouse)
Lineage: Eukaryota; Metazoa; Chordata; Aves; Galliformes; Phasianidae
Description: tRNA-Phe
Source: RNAcentral
GCCCCCAUAGCUUACUCCAAAGCAUGGCACUGAAGAUGCCAAGACGGGACCUACUAUACCUGCGGGCA